RNAcentral lists this ribosomal RNA (460 nucleotides) under uncultured bacterium. RNAcentral's name for it is "partial 16S ribosomal RNA". It matches the Rfam family "Bacterial small subunit ribosomal RNA", at positions 338 to 795 of the family's 1533-position model. The record is from RNAcentral.
CCUACGGGAGGCUGCAGUGAGGAAUAUUGGUCAAUGGACGAGAGUCUGAACCAGCCAAGUAGCGUGAAGGAUGACUGCCCUAUGGGUUGUAAACUUCUUUUAUAUGGGAAUAAAACAGGGUAUGCAUACCCUCUUGUAUGUACCAUAUGAAUAAUGAUCGGCUAACUCCGUGCCAGCAGCCGCGGUAAUACGGAGGAUCCGAGCGUUGUCCGGAUUUAUUGGGUUUAAGGGGAGCGUAGGUGGUUUGUUAAGUCAGUUGUGAAAGUUUGGGGCUCAACCGUAAGAUUGCAGUUGAAACUGGCAGUCUAGAGUAAAGGAGAGGUGUGCGGAAUUCGUGGUGUAGCGGUGAAAUGCUUAGAUAUCGAGAAGAACUCCGAUGGCGAAGGCAGCUCACUGGACUGCAACUGACACUGAGGCUCGAAAGUGUGGGUAUCAAACAGGAUUAGAUACCCGGGUAGUC